Molecule: ribosomal RNA, 497 nt
Filed under: uncultured bacterium
Lineage: Bacteria
Description: partial 16S ribosomal RNA
Rfam family: Bacterial small subunit ribosomal RNA
Source: RNAcentral
GAUGAACGCUGGCGGCGUGCCUAAUACAUGCAAGUCGAGCGAACAGAUGAGGAGCUUGCUCCUCUGACGUUAGCGGCGGACGGGUGAGUAACACGUGGAUAACCUACCUAUAUGACUGGGAUAACUUCGGGAAACCGGAGCUAACACCGGAUAAUAUAUUGAACCGCAUGGUUCAAUAGUGAAAGUCGGUUUUUGUGUAUGUAAUAGAGGGUUCCGCGCUGCUUUAGCUAGUUGGUAAGGUCACGGCUUUCCACGGCAAGGAUGGGUGGCCGACGUGAGAGAGUGAUCGGCCACACUGGAACUGGAACACGGUCCAGACUACUACGGGAGGCAGCAGUAGGGAAUCGGCCGCAAUGGGCGAGAGCCUGACGGAGCAACGCCGCGUGAGUGAUGAAGGUCUUCCGAUCGUAAAGCUCUGUUAUUAGGGAAGAACAAAUGUGGAAGUAACUAUGGACGUCUUGACGGUACCUAAUCAGAAAGCCACGGCUAACUACGUG